Molecule: long non-coding RNA, 1363 nt
Organism: Hippocampus comes (tiger tail seahorse)
Lineage: Eukaryota; Metazoa; Chordata; Actinopteri; Syngnathiformes; Syngnathidae
Exons: 2
Source: RefSeq, a predicted model, not a curated record
CAGUAUUUAUUGACUCUGCCUCAGAGAGUUUUUGUUUUUGUUUUGGGGGGGGGGCGGUUUUCAGCAGCUUCACUCACAAAUUUUCAGAGAACAUGGUUUGAAGGCACAUCAGCGUAUCACGUUAUAUUGUCAUCCAAAGCCUUUCCGUAGUCUCCCAGUAAGCGAUCGUCCCCUCUCCGCUCAAGGCCAAGAUAAUUUAAGAACUUUGAAACUCCUGAAAUGUAAGAGAAAUGCCAGGAAAUGAGCUCAUCCCGGAGUUAGUGACAAAUUUGCGGAUGCCUUUUGUGCUACCCUUUGUUGUCAGAGGUCAUGCAUGGCUGAGUUCAGAGAAAACACAAUCAAAGUGUCAAAAAACAAUCAGGCCCCAAAUUGUAAACAUCUGCAGGAACAUUUAUUUUAUUUUAUUGAACAGACGUCAAAAGGCUCCCGCUAACUUUUCGAGAAAAGCUUUUCAAGUGUGACAAGCACUUUACGGGAGGAGCAGCGUUGGACCGCUGCCGCUUAGGUCCUAUUCGGUUGCCCAUCCAUGACAUUUCCCAUCGUGUGUUAUGCACUCCAAUUCCAAGCAAAGAAAAUCCAUGAAAAGAUGGCGCUUAUCUUAUUAAUCGGGUCCAUAAUAUCUCAAGGCACAACUGUAUGUGUGAGAGAAAGAAUUGGCAAGGGUUCAAAUACAAGCUCGAUAUUGGUGGAGGAUUUUAAAUCCAGCGUCAGUGUUGCAAAAUGAGCCUUAGAAUGACAAAGAAAAGCAAAGUUGAGCUCCUAUGCAUCAAGUGCGCAAGGCGGAACAAACACAAAACGGCAUCUUAGAAUUGGUGUGACUCUGAAAACUGCUAUCCUUACAAAACAAAAAACAUCAUUUCAAAGCGAAAUUAUUUAUUUUUAUAGCAUUGGUUUGAUAUUCAAAGGAGAUGAAGAUGCCUGGGAGUGAGCCACACUGCCACUUUUUUCGGGCUGUGGAUUUUUUUUUUUUUUUUUGCCUCUAAUAUGUCGUCAGACGUGCUUACUGCCAACUGAAAGGACUGGCUCAGUGACAGCCGGUGUGAGGUUGUGCCAAAUAAAUCUGCAGCACCACGCGUGGCUGCUUUGCCUUGUACGCGGACUGUACAGAGGUGGACGGUGCAUGUUUUGUUUUGUUUUUCGGGGGUGGGGAGGGGUUGAUCUGGUUCAGUAUUUCAACAAGACUGUCUAUCUGUUCAUUGUACAUAUUUAUUUAUCUAUUUAUUUCUAUUCAUUUGGGUCUCGCCGAAAUGGUUUAUUUAUUGAGAGACAUUGCUUCAAAUUUGCAAUGAUUGCUGCGUUCGAUUUCUUUUCCUGCCUGACAUUUCAACCCCUAAAAUAAAUAUUUGACCUAGUUCUGACAUGA